AAGUCGUAACAAGGUUUCCGUAGGUGAACCUGCGGAAGGAUCAUUGAAAGUGAUUGGUUAUACAUUUCAUGUAUCAACUUGCACUAACCCAUUCCAGAGUACCUUGCCCUGUUGUCUUCCAUGGGGCCUGACCUAGGUACCACUCUUGUGAUGUGAAACCCAAGAGAGUCCCCAUGGGAGGUAAUCAUUAAAUUCAUGUAUCCAAUGUCUUCUGUUCUGAACUGUUUAUAACAAGUGUUAAAA
This 243-nucleotide unclassified non-coding RNA is filed under the name plant metagenome. Its description in RNAcentral is "partial contains small subunit ribosomal RNA and internal transcribed spacer 1". The stretch from base 1 to 46 matches the Rfam family "Eukaryotic small subunit ribosomal RNA", at positions 1786 to 1831 of the family's 1831-position model. The record is from RNAcentral.